CGUUUUCUUCGUUGGGCCGGCGAAUUGUGAAGCCCUUCGUGGUGAAACGCAGCUUUUUUAUUCGGUUUAACAUGGAGUGCUUCCUCGCGGCUCCGGAGCCGAUGGCGACUCGCGUUCCCCAGAUGAUCUUUCGUCUCCUUCGUCCUGCGCAUCUCUGUAACCGAUCGAGCGUCUUUAAUCCCCCCAUUAAUCGAUUACCCACGAUCUAGAUGCAUGACGUUGGAGUCGGCUAUAAGAAGGUGUGCUUUCAAGAGUUUUCUUCACUGACUUGAAAACCGGCAGUUGAUCAUCGGUCGUGGAGACUAGGCUCAUGCGGUUCUGGGAGGCUAGAAGUGCUAGGCGUGGGGGUGAGCUCAUGAGAGUUGACAUGCUACUGGUAGACGUAAAUUCUACUAUGAUCCAAGCAAGAAUCAAUGCUCCUCGCCUUUCAAAAUUGACGUGGUUCCAUGUAUUCAUAACCGCAGGCUUACCGACUCACCCCUGUUGAUUCGAUUCAAUGGUACUACCGGCUUUGAUGAGAUAACCGAACCAGCAUUUCCCCUGCCUAAAGAAGGUUUCAGAUUCCGUGAUGAAACAGACUUGCUAAGACUAGCAAACACCAACACUCGGCUGCCAGGUGCCUUCUUAAUUCUCAAUAAGUUUGUUAGCCCUAUAUCCAUGUUUAAUAUUAAUAUAGAUGUCCGGAAUACAUUUUGGCUGAGAUUACUGCUGUCAAGAGCACCGUGAGCGAUCCUCCAAAAGGAAAAAAUCAUGUUAUGGUGACAGUAAAAUUUGAUAACGAUAACCCUGUGAUAUUGAGUCUGUUCGACAAUCAAGCAAUCGAUUUUCACAGAAGACUUGAUUCCAUGCGUGUUGAUCCAAGGGUGAUUGUUGCCACAAACAUUAACCCAAGAACAGUUGGAGGUAUUUUAUUUUAGUUACUGGUCUCUAAAGCCACUGGGAACAUUCCAGUACCUACAUUUCUGAGAGGAUACGCCAAGGUCAAGCCUUUGAGCAUACAUGAGCUGAAUGAGUUUGUCAUCACCGCCCAGCCUCAGGACGUUGAAUUUGACUGCACCGGAAAGGUGACUGGUGUUACGUCUCCUGCUCUAGGUGCACAAAGAAACUCCAACGAACUGUCGCAUUCUUUACUUGCGUAACGUGCAAUAACACUAACGUUAUUGGUGUGCUCAGGUAUCAUGUGGAGCAUUGCUGAUGACACGGAUGAAGGUUUGUUUGUUGGUUUCGAUGGAGAGAUGACGAAGCUACACAACAUGCGAGCCUAUGAAGCAGUUCAUCUAACGGCUGGAGAGGGAGUUAAUUCAGAGGAGACUCAGCCACCUCCAUUUAUUGCAGACAUGGUUGGUAAGACAUACAACUUCCAGGUUAGAGUAAGCAGAUACAAUUUUACUGCCAACCAUCAAACCUUCACGAUCUCUCGCAUCAUGAACGAACGUGACCGUCUGCCACGCCCCGACUUUGUUCCAAACGUAAAUUGCAACAUAUAUUUCAUUGUUACUGUAUCAUCCAAAUAAUGAUGUAUGUUGCUCUAUACGAUGAUGACAAUGAUAUUGAAGGUGACAUGCCUGGUGCCAACUCAGUACUCUCUAAGGUCAAAGCUGAUAGCAAUGAUCAUGAGGAAUCAUCAUCUGGAGGAACAUCGCCCAGUUGUGUCGCUACCAAGAAGGCUCGCGCAUAGAAGCUUCGAAGGCACGGAAGGAGUAAUUGGAGAUGAUAGUGUCUCGAGUCAGUUUUUAAAAUUUGAAUAAUGCUUUCGCAUCGAUGUGGUUUUUCAAUUAAGUCCUCUAGAGUUUGGUAUGUUUUUUUUACUAAAAAAUACUAUUAUGAAAAUAAUGAUUUUCUGCA
This is an RNA transcript of Brassica oleracea var. oleracea, 1845 nucleotides long. RefSeq lists it as uncharacterized. Lineage: Eukaryota; Viridiplantae; Streptophyta; Magnoliopsida; Brassicales; Brassicaceae. The record is from RefSeq and is a predicted model, not a curated record. The transcript has 7 exons.